This is a long non-coding RNA of Monodelphis domestica (gray short-tailed opossum), 1666 nucleotides long. NCBI's taxonomy places the organism in Eukaryota, Metazoa, Chordata, Mammalia, Didelphimorphia, Didelphidae. The record is from Ensembl.
AUUUAGGAAUUGUCUCAUACUUUUGAUUUGUAUCCUGAGUUCUUCUCACCAUGCCAGAAACAUAAUCACAUUAUCUGAUUCGAAUAUAAGAAGGAAUGGAUAAAUUUAUGCUGAAAGAAUCAAGAGUGUUUUUAUGGAAGAUCUUUCAUCUGAGUUUUAGAAUGGAUAAUUUCAACAAGCAGCGAUCAAAGGAGCAUGCUGACUCAACAUUCUCCUGGGAUCUAGAAAGAGACCAAAAAUCCAGAAGCCCUAGAAUUUCCUCUUUCAAAAAAUUCUCACAUCCACACUCAGGGUGUAUUGCUACUGUAACAGAAGAAUAAAGUAUUCCAUACACUGUCCAUGUGGUGCACAGAUUGGCAGUAUGGGCAGGAGAUAUGGAAAGAACCAUCCCAAAUAAGAAACCAGUACCUCCAUCCUGGCUUUCCUAGCUAUGAAAACUGGCCUGGUCCAAUUCUUACAAGGUUAUAAACAACUGAGAGUAUUUAUAUGUCACAUGUAAGAGAAAGGAUGAAUUCAAAUAACCCUUCCCUUUGUAAACCUUGAAAUUUCUUAGACUUGUGAAAGUUGGAAAUUUCACCAUUGGAAAGCUUCAUACUUGGAAAAAAAUUUCCUACUGAUAGUAAGAACCCCCUUGGCAUGGGAGGAUCCUUCUCCCUACUUGGGACUGCUUUAGGACAGAAACCUUUUGCUGAACAAUGGAAAGGGCUUUGACCUAUGCUUAAGCAUAGAACAGGAAAUUCUUUGAGUCAUGAUUGAUUUUAGAAUUGAUACAAUAGAUACAAUACUUGGAAUGACAGAACCAGGUCUUGGAAAAUGCAAUUUCCACCCUACUUAGAGUAACAGGAUUUAGGAAGGGCUGCAGCAAAGGAUCAAGAUUUAAUUAUUUGAGAAUAUGACCUUCAACAGACAUGUGCAAAGGGGCAGACCUCUGGGCGGUCCUGGGUUAAGCUAGAGCCACCAUUGGCACAGGUUUCCUUAAAGAUAGCGGGGUCUGAGGACUGAGGGGGUUGGAAAGGUUUUGCUCUGAGAGGUUGUGCUCUGAGAAGUUUUGCUCUGAAGGAGGCUGGAGGUGGAGGCCCCUGAGACUGUUUCUCCAUUUUGGUCACAUGAGUGAUAGGGACUGAUCUCUUUUCUUUGCCUCAACUAUCUAAGGGCUUGGGCCUUUUAGCCCAGCCUAAACAGAGGGGGUAUUUAAGCCCUAUUCCUCUCUCUCUCUCUCUCUCUCUAUCUAUCUAUCUCUAAUACCUUUCUUCCUCCUGUUUGUAAUUAAAACCUCCAUAAAAGGUUGACUGCUGACUUGAGUUUCAUUUAGGAAUUACAUAGCUGAAUUCCUUGGCGACCUUAAAUUAAUAUAUAUCAGUCUUUUAAAGUGAUUUCCUUGUCACACCUUAUACUACCACCCUGUCAUUUCAAGGUUCAUUAACAUACACAACUGUAAUGCUUUGAGUAGAAAAUCUGGAUUUGACUCUUAGUACCAACACUGACUCGCUGUGUUACCUUAACCCAAUUAGUUAGCCUCCCUGAGGCUUAGAUUCUUCACCUAAAAAAUGGGGCUAAUGAUAAAUGUAACCUCCAUUAUAGGAUAAUAUAUGUUAAAAAACACUUGAUGAAUUUGAUCUAAAGCUAUAUAUUGUUAAUAAAAUCUAACAUUUCCCUGAGCUACCCA